Octopus sinensis (East Asian common octopus) is the source of this 678-nucleotide long non-coding RNA. RefSeq lists it as uncharacterized. NCBI's taxonomy places the organism in Eukaryota, Metazoa, Mollusca, Cephalopoda, Octopoda, Octopodidae. The record is from RefSeq and is a predicted model, not a curated record. The transcript is spliced from 2 exons.
GGGGGAGAAGAGGAAGAGAGGAAAGUGAGGGAGAGAAGAGGAAGACAAUACCUCAGAAGACCAAUUUCUCGAUGUGCAGUAGCCUCUAAAAUAGAGCAUAAGGCCUAAGUUUCGUACAAAACAAACUCUAUAGAUGGAAAAAAACCGAGGGGACGCAAAUAAUGAUUGCAGACUUGUAAAGUUGGGGGAUUCAACAAGUCAAAAUAAUGUUGGAUACGGAUUGAGAGAAAGAAAUAAUACGAGUAAACGGCAAUAAAGAAUAACGAGAGGAAAAUCAGCAACAGUCGAAGACGGAAGAAACGUUACAUAUACACACACACACACAGAUACAUAUAGAAAGAACAGAAUGAUAACGAAGACGAAAGAAGGAAGACGAAAGCGGAGGAAUGAGCACGGCAAAAAAAAGAAAGAAAAGGGGGGGAAAGGAAGUAUGAAGGAAAGUGGGAGGAAUGAAGAUGUAUAAGGGUGGCUGACAGUGGUUUGAGGUGGAAGAAACGAUACGAUGGUUUUGGUUCACAAGAAUACUGUUGACAACGAACGUCGAUUCUACGCGAAUGAAUAGAAUAAAUAAAUAUAGUGUAUCAUUAGAUUAUUGCUGGUGCUUACAGACACUGACUGCGUUGCGGAGGGGGAGUUAUUGCAGUUUUUACAGUGCGUCACCGGCAAAAACUAAAAAAA